GCCCCCAUAGUUCAAUGGAUAGAAUGCGAGAUUGCGGAUCUCGUGAUUCAGGUUCGAAUCCUGAUGGGGGCACCA
This 75-nucleotide transfer RNA is filed under the name bacterium. Its description in RNAcentral is "tRNA-Arg". It matches the Rfam family "tRNA". From Rfam's summary of the family: Transfer RNA (tRNA) molecules are approximately 80 nucleotides in length. Their secondary structure includes four short double-helical elements and three loops (D, anti-codon, and T loops). The record is from RNAcentral.